GAUUUUUGUCUCGCCUGCGACGAAUGUCGCGAAGCGAGACAUAGCGACCAUAGAUUCCGUCGUCGUCGUCGUCGUCGGCGUCCAACUUUUGGUUAACCCAAAUGUCAAAGUUUUAUAAACUGCAAUAACUUUCUCAAAUUUUAUUCAGUCUUCUUGAAAUUUGGACACAAUAUUCAGUAUGGAUAAAAAUUUAUAUCCCAAGUAUGAUUUUGAAAAAAAAAAUUCAAAUUUUUCCGUAUUUUUUCCUUAAGUUGGACUUAGUUUUUUCAUGAUAAUUUAUGGUGAAGACCUAUAUUCCAGCAACUAUAAGUUAUAGGGAUAUGAUAAUUAGUCAGUGGAUACAUCAUGGGUAACCACAAACGUCAGUACCAGAAUUAGGUCAUCUUGACCUACAUUUUUCUGCAUGAGUGACUUUGGUUAAAUUUUUGGUGGAGGUCCAUAUCUCAGCAUCUAUAACUUAUAAUGGCAUGAUGAUUUGUCAUUGUACAGGUUAUAAGUAACCAACAACAUCAGUACCAGAAUUAGGUCAUUUUGACCUACAUUUUUCUGCAUGAAUGACUUUGGUUAAAUUGAUAAUGGAGGUUCAUAUUUCAGCAACUAUAACUUAUAGUGGCAUGAUAGUUAGUCAGUGGAUACAUCAUGGGUAACCACAAACGCCUGUACCAGAAUUAGGUCAUCUUGACCUACAUUUUUCCGCAUGAGUGACUUUGCAUAAAUUUAUGGUGGAGGUCCAUAUCUCAGCAACUAUAACUUAUAGUGGCAUGAUAAUUUGUCAGUGGAUACAUCAUGGGUAACCACAAACGCCUGUACCAGAAUUAGGUCAUCUUGACCUACAUUUUUCCGCAUGAGUGACUUUGCAUAAAUUUAUGGUGGAGGUCCAUAUCUCAGCAACUAUAACUUAUAGUGGCAUGAUAAUUUGUCAGUCUACACAUCAUGGGUAACCAACAAUAUCAGUACCAUAAUUAGCGACAGCAGGCGAGACACAGGGUUGCGGGCAACCCUUACGUACUUUUAUUU
Long non-coding RNA from Saccostrea cuccullata (small rock oyster), 1017 nucleotides. RefSeq lists it as uncharacterized. The transcript is spliced from 2 exons. The record is from RefSeq and is a predicted model, not a curated record. Lineage: Eukaryota; Metazoa; Mollusca; Bivalvia; Ostreida; Ostreidae.